ACGCUGGCGGCGUGCUUAACACAUGCAAGUCGAACGGAGAUUAUUAAUGAAGCUUGCGAUUUAAUAAUCUUAGUGGCGGACGGGUGAGUAACGCGUGGGCAACCUACCCAUAAGCGGGGGAUAACAGUUGGAAACGACUGCUAAUACCGCAUAAGCUAUUGAGGUCGCAUGACCUAAAUAGUAAAGGUGGCGAAAGCUAUCACUUAUGGAUGGGCCCGCGUCUGAUUAGCUAGUUGGUGGGAUAGCAGCCUACCAAGGCAACGAUCAGUAGCCGGCCUGAGAGGGUGGACGGCCACACUGGGACUGAGACACGGCCCAGACUCCUACGGGAGGCAGCAGUGGGGAAUAUUGCGCAAUGGGGGAAACCCUGACGCAGCGACGCCGCGUGAGCGAAGAAGGCCUUAGGGUCGUAAAGCUCUGUUGUAAGGGACGAAUGUUUAUCUGGCGAACAGUCAGAUAAAGUGACGGUACCUUACCAGCAAGCCCCGGCUAACUACGUG
RNAcentral lists this ribosomal RNA (500 nucleotides) under uncultured bacterium. RNAcentral describes it as "bacterial SSU rRNA". It matches the Rfam family "Bacterial small subunit ribosomal RNA", at positions 33 to 507 of the family's 1533-position model. The record is from RNAcentral.